Haemorhous mexicanus (house finch) is the source of this 3510-nucleotide long non-coding RNA. RefSeq lists it as uncharacterized. The record is from RefSeq and is a predicted model, not a curated record. The transcript has 5 exons. NCBI's taxonomy places the organism in Eukaryota, Metazoa, Chordata, Aves, Passeriformes, Fringillidae.
CACAAGCUGGUGUUUGACAAGAAAUUCUGGUUUAAACUGUAUGAAGCUGCUUCUGGUGCUGAAGGCCCAGAAGGAGGGAAUUGUCAUGUCCCAGCAGAAGACAGGAGCUGUUGAAGCUCACAUUGCCCUAUGUGAUUCUGCUUUCCUUGAAAGACCAAAGGCGGGAACCACAGUCUGAGGCUUUGCCCUACUAUCUCUCUACUUGUGAGCAGUAUAGAGUCAGUCAAGCCUGAAAAUCAUGAGGAUCUAGGCUGCAUUCAUGGCGCUGCUCCUCCAGCUUUUCCUCUGUGUCUCGGUCUUCUGCUCUGCCAUCAAGACACUUCUGAAGAACCAGAAACCUGUCAAGUACUACUCUCUGUCAAAAAGCAAAAAGAAAAUACGCAUUUUGAUCUGGAAAUUCAUCUCAGACCAGGAAGGCAGACAGCAGCAUGUCUUCACAUCUAUUGGUUCAUGGGACUGAUAUGCCCUGACUUGUCUGUAUUGAUAAGGAAAUCAGUGGGAUAUAAAAAUACCAGAACUUUGGAAAUUAUGGCAGUCAGACAGCAUGGUGUCUGGCUGCGAUAGAACAUCUGCAUCUCAAAGUUAUGUCGACCACUCAGACUCCAGAAGCUCUUCUCCCUCAGAGGAAAAGCUUCUUGGUGGGUCCCUGUCUGGCAUGUUGGAAAUGACAUUCGAGGUGGGAAGAGAAAGAGUCUGAAGAGCAGAGAGCAGUGGGCAGCUCUGAACCACAGCCCAGAGCAGGCCUUACAGUCCUGUCAAGUGCAGGAGGGAUGUUUUCUAUCCAACAAACUGAAACAAAAACAUUUUGACUCUCUGGUGUUUCAAUGUUCUCUGUUUAUUUUUUUAUAAAUUACAUAUUUUAAUAUUUCUUUCUAAUAGAAAACUAAGCAUGGUUCCUCACUCUGUAUUUCUUGGUGUUUUAUGGUGAAGGUUGAAAUUCAUUAGCAGAAAUUCUGAAAUUUUGACUCCUGUUUGACUUCAUUUAUGAUCAAAAAAGAAAAUAAGAACUUUUUUAUCAGGUCUAUGUUAAAAAUUGAUCUCUUCCCUCAUAAUAUUCCUUUGUUAUGUAAUUCUUGAAGUAAAAACUUCCUCUGGAAAACUUCAAGACUGAUUUAAAUUAAAUGUCUUCCUCUACAGCUGACUAACAAAAUCCACUAGACAUUGAACAGAUUUCUUAAGGACAUGAACUUCAGCUGAAGUUACAUACAGAAAUCUGAGGUAGGAUACAGCUCAGUUCACAGCAUAUGUGGAAUAUUUUCAUAAAUGCACUAGAUAAGCGAUAAAUGAAAAGCAAGGUCAAUACAAAGGUGCAAUAAUAACAGAAAUUGAAAAAAAAAAGGUAGAUUUUUUCUUCACACAGCAUAUUAUUUCUUGCCAUCCACAUCCUCGAAAAUUAGUUUCAAGAAAUUCUUAAAAUUCUAGUUUUAUAAACAACUAUGAUUUCUCUUUUCUUUUCAAAAGCAGCUAUUGUUUCUCUAUAGUCUUAUCCCUUUCUAGUUCAUGUUUUUCUUCUGUUCACAAAGUAGGACCAAAGUAAUGAAAUAAUAAAAGCUUUCCUUUUUGCAUCAUUAAUGUUAUCUUUCUAAGCUGUGAGCCGUGUUUUGUUGCAAAAUAACAGAGUGAGAUGCUUAGCAGCAAUUAAUAGUUACACCCUUGCUUAUUUACAAAAGAACCUGUUAUACUUUUAGUUCACAUUAAGGUAUUCUUUAUAGCAGUAGUGUGACCUUUGUCAAGAAAAAAAAAUGCUGAGUCCUAUACAACUAGUAACUGAUGAGAAAGUGGAAUCUUUCGUUCUGCCAAUUACAGACAGUAAUUGCCAUGUAAUGAAGUUAAUGUUUUGUAGAAUUUACAACCUUAUAUUAAUGGUGUUUCUUUACCACCCUCUCUUAUCCAACUUAAUUUUUGCCCAGCUUUUUCACUACAAAAGAAGCAGGACAAUGUGUGAAGGCUCAUUAAUUCUAUUUAGUUUUGAUUUUUUUUUUCCUCCCUUCUUUUCUCCCCGCCUCCUGGAGGUGAAAAAAGAGCCAUGCCAUCAGGCCUUUAGGUAAACUCUGGUUCAUGUAAGGGUGAAAGUUACAGCCUCCACACAGCAGCUUGCACCAUAUAAAUGCUCCCCUUUCAAUUUCAGCUCAGGCUGUUUAAUGGCCAUGCCGUUUUAUUGCCUUCUUGAUCACCAAUUACACCACCAAGAACAAUGAGCCCAACACUUAAAUGAGGAGGCCUCAAAUUUGCCUUCAUUUGCCAACGUGUUCCAUAGCAACACUUUCUUUGAAAGCACAGAUCGCCUAAUUACGAGGAUGAAGAUGGAUCAGAGUUUGAAAAAGGCUCUCAGCACCAGAACAAUAUGCUAACCUAACUGUACUCCCUGUACUCCUACUGUAUCAUUGUGACCCCGAGCUGCCCUUCUAGCACUCUGCCUGACCUCCUGCCUCCAAGAGGAAGCCGUGCCUGCCCUCCCUAUCUCCAGAGUGUCACUGCAGAAUUUGGGAGGGUGCCGCUGAGGCUGGUGACAAUGGAAUCUAGGAAAAAUAAAUCAUAAGGCAGAAACUAGACAAAUUGAGGAACCACAGGAUACCAAAAGCAUUUCCACGUUAUUUUGUUUUGCCGCUAAUGGCUGAAACGAAUAAAUCAGGAUGUGUUAACUCCAGCGUGCUUCCCAGAGCAAAUGCUAAAUGCUUUACUUUCUUUGUUAGGAACUAAUAGCAGGGCUGAGGUAUUGUGGAUGCUCACUGUUCUACCAGGAAUUUGAAAGGACUGUUAAUACACUAAAAGUAAACACAACUGCAAUAAAUGAUAAAGAUAAAAAACUAAAUGGAAAAAAGUUUUAUACAAGUUCAAAGAUUAGAGUUAUGGAAAUUGCAGAUGUUUUCCUUGUUUAAAAAUAUACCCUAACAAGAAUUUAUUGUUCCAUAUGUCUUUUUACAUAAAUCAGUCACCUAACUAUUUUGCAGGUUGCUUGCUGCAAAAUGACACUGGAAAAAAAUGCUACUACCCCAGAAUUAAACAAUCAGUGUGUUUGCUACACACACUCCAACCAUCUGCCUCCAGUUCUGGUGCUGCCUCGUUCUGAGGGAUGUGCCACCAGAACUAAUCCACUGAGGUAUAAGCUAGAUUACAGAAAUUCAUCACCAUGCAAAUAUUUAUCAAAUUACUUCUGGAACCAUUCAUAAAUAUAAACACAGGUAGAUUCAGGUUUUGUAAAGAUGCAUAAAAUUUAUGACUUUUUUUUUUUGCUGUUUCUUUAGGUUUCUAAAGUUUUCCAACUGAAGUUAGUUCAUAUCUAACCAUGUAACAAUUUAUGUAUGUAAUUGACUUUACAUUCUGUGUGCAGUCCUAGGAAACAUACAGUAGCAGUUAAGGAAUAUUUGAAGAGCUGGAGCCUUUGUUGAAGAGUGAAAAAAUGUGUGGGCUAAUUGUUACAAGAGAAUUACGCAGUAAUAAACACGAUUAAACUUUUGCUGCGGGGAAAGAAUCAAGAUUAAUUUUCAAUUUUAACUUUCACGCUUAUCU